Molecule: ribosomal RNA, 122 nt
Organism: Panthera pardus (leopard)
Lineage: Eukaryota; Metazoa; Chordata; Mammalia; Carnivora; Felidae
Source: Ensembl
UAUGGCCAUACCACCCCGAAUGCGCCCGAUCUUGUCUGAUAUCGGAAGCUAAGCAGGGUUGGGCCUGGUUAGUACUUGGAUGGGAGAAAUGCACAAAAUAAUCCAACAGGUAAAUGCCUUAA